UACGUAGGGUGCAAGCAUUAUCCGGAGUGACUGGGCGUAAAGAGUUGCGUAGGUGGACAAGUAAGCGAAUAGUGAAAUCUGGCGGCUCAACCGUACAGACUAUUAUUCGAACUGCUCGUCUCGAGAAUGGUAGAGGUAACUGGAAUUUCUAGUGUAGGAGUGAAAUCCGUAGAUAUUAGAAGGAACACCAAUGGCGUAGGCAGGUUACUGGACCAUUUCUGACACUAAGGCACGAAAGCGUGGGGAGCGAACCGG
This 255-nucleotide ribosomal RNA is filed under the name uncultured bacterium. RNAcentral's name for it is "partial 16S ribosomal RNA". It matches the Rfam family "Bacterial small subunit ribosomal RNA", at positions 524 to 776 of the family's 1533-position model. The record is from RNAcentral.